CGCCGCCACCACCACCACCACCGCCACCGCCGCCGCUGCCUCCCCUCGCCUCACUCUCACACUGUGGAUCACAGGCUUCUCCUCCUCCAGGCACCCCUCUUGCCUCAACUCCCUCAUCCAAGCCCAGUGUUCUCCCUUCUCCCUCUGCAGCUGCCCCUGCCUCUGUGGAGACCCCUCUAAAUCCUGAGCUGGGAGACUCCUCUGCUUCCGAGCCAGGCUUGCAGGCAGCCUCUCAGCCGGCCGAGACGCCAGCCCCACAGGGCCAUGUCUUGGGACCACCUGCACCUCCAC
Molecule: long non-coding RNA, 291 nt
Filed under: Rattus norvegicus (Norway rat)
Lineage: Eukaryota; Metazoa; Chordata; Mammalia; Rodentia; Muridae
Description: long non-coding RNA NONRATT009070
Source: RNAcentral